Molecule: ribosomal RNA, 1281 nt
Filed under: Staphylococcus pseudintermedius
Lineage: Bacteria; Bacillati; Bacillota; Bacilli; Caryophanales; Staphylococcaceae
Description: bacterial SSU rRNA
Rfam family: Bacterial small subunit ribosomal RNA
Source: RNAcentral
UUUAUGGAGAGUUUGAUCCUGGCUCAGGAUGAACGCUGGCGGCGUGCCUAAUACAUGCAAGUCGAGCGAACAGAUAAGGAGUUUGCUCCUUUGACGUUAGCGGCGGACGGGUGAGUAACACGUGGGUAACCUACCUAUAAGACUGGAAUAACUCCGGGAAACCGGGGCUAAUGCCGGAUAACAUGUUGAACCGCAUGGUUCUACAGUGAAAGACGGUCUUGCUGUCACUUAUAGAUGGACCCGCGCCGUAUUAGCUAGUUGGUGGGGUAACGGCCUACCAAGGCGACGAUACGUAGCCGACCUGAGAGGGUGAUCGGCCACACUGGAACUGAGACACGGUCCAGACUCCUACGGGAGGCAGCAGUAGGGAAUCUUCCGCAAUGGGCGAAAGCCUGACGGAGCAACGCCGCGUGAGUGAUGAAGGUCUUCGGAUCGUAAAGCUCUGUUGUUAGGGAAGAACAAAUGUGUAAGUAACUGUGCACAUCUUGACGGUACCUAACCAGAAAGCCACGGCUAACUACGUGCCAGCAGCCGCGGUAAUACGUAGGUGGCAAGCGUUAUCCGGAAUUAUUGGGCGUAAAGCGCGCGUAGGCGGUUUUUUAAGUCUGAUGUGAAAGCCCACGGCUCAACCGUGGAGGGUCAUUGGAAACUGGAAAACUUGAGUGCAGAAGAGGAAAGUGGAAUUCCAUGUGUAGCGGUGAAAUGCGCAGAGAUAUGGAGGAACACCAGUGGCGAAGGCGGCUUUCUGGUCUGCAACUGACGCUGAUGUGCGAAAGCGUGGGGAUCAAACAGGAUUAGAUACCCUGGUAGUCCACGCCGUAAACGAUGAGUGCUAAGUGUUAGGGGGUUUCCGCCCCUUAGUGCUGCAGCUAACGCAUUAAGCACUCCGCCUGGGGAGUACGGUCGCAAGACUGAAACUCAAAGGAAUUGACGGGGACCCGCACAAGCGGUGGAGCAUGUGGUUUAAUUCGAAGCAACGCGAAGAACCUUACCAAAUCUUGACAUCCUUUGACCGCUCUAGAGAUAGAGUUUUCCUCUUCGGAGGACAAAGUGACAGGUGGUGCAUGGUUGUCGUCAGCUCGUGUCGUGAGAUGUUGGGUUAAGUCCCGCAACGAGCGCAACCCUUGAACUUAGUUGCCAUCAUUCAGUUGGGCACUCUAAGUUGACUGCCGGUGACAAACCGGAGGAAGGUGGGGAUGACGUCAAAUCAUCAUGCCCCUUAUGAUUUGGGCUACACACGUGCUACAAUGGACAAUACAAAGGGCAGCGAAACCGUGAGGU